UUGUCCUGGCCUCUGUUUUUUCUACUCCCCUCUGUUUUUUUGGCCCCUGCUGUGCUCAGUUGUAAAAAGGUAGUAUGGCAGUACACACAGCAGUCUCCUUCAGUUUAGGAGGGCUGUCUUUAGAAUAGAGCUGUCUUUUAAAGGCACAAGAGUACAGU
Non-coding RNA from Callithrix jacchus (white-tufted-ear marmoset), 158 nucleotides. NCBI's taxonomy places the organism in Eukaryota, Metazoa, Chordata, Mammalia, Primates, Cebidae. The record is from Ensembl.